CGAGAAGCUUGCUUUUCUGAUGUUAGCGGCGGACGGGUGAGUAACACGUGGAUAACCUACCUAUAAGACUGGGAUAACUUCGGGAAACCGGAGCUAAUACCGGAUAAUAUUUUGAACCGCAUGGUUCAAAAGUGAAAGACGGUCUUGCUGUCACUUAUAGAUGGAUCCGCGCUGCAUUAGCUAGUUGGUAAGGUAACGGCUUACCAAGGCAACGAUGCAUAGCCGACCUGAGAGGGUGAUCGGCCACACUGGAACUGAGACACGGUCCAGACUCCUACGGGAGGCAGCAGUAGGGAAUCUUCCGCAAUGGGCGAAAGCCUGACGGAGCAACGCCGCGUGAGUGAUGAAGGUCUUCGGAUCGUAAAACUCUGUUAUUAAGGAAGAACAUAUGUGUAAGUAACUGUGCACAUCUUGACGGUACCUAAUCAGAAAGCCACGGCUAACUACGUGCCAGCAGCCGCGGUAAUACGUAGGUGGCAAGCGUUAUCCGGAAUUAUUGGGCGUAAAGCGCGCGUAGGCGGUUUUUUAAGUCUGAUGUGAAAGCCCACGGCUCAACCGUGGAGGGUCAUUGGAAACUGGAAAACUUGAGUGCAGAAGAGGAAAGUGGAAUUCCAUGUGUAGCGGUGAAAUGCGCAGAGAUAUGGAGGAACACCAGUGGCGAAGGCGACUUUCUGGUC
RNAcentral lists this ribosomal RNA (677 nucleotides) under uncultured Staphylococcus sp. Its description in RNAcentral is "bacterial SSU rRNA". It matches the Rfam family "Bacterial small subunit ribosomal RNA", at positions 72 to 734 of the family's 1533-position model. The record is from RNAcentral. Lineage: Bacteria; Bacillati; Bacillota; Bacilli; Caryophanales; Staphylococcaceae.